GUGCCUGCUUCGCGCAGCACAUAUACUAAAAUUGGAAUGAUACAGAGAAGAUUAGCAUGGCCCGCAAAAGCAUGAAGCACAAUUCAUGAAGCAUUCCACAAGAGG
Molecule: small nuclear RNA, 105 nt
Filed under: Rhinopithecus bieti (black snub-nosed monkey)
Lineage: Eukaryota; Metazoa; Chordata; Mammalia; Primates; Cercopithecidae
Source: RNAcentral